ACGAGUUAGGGUCUUUUCGGCCCGACCUCCCAACCCUGUGUUUACUGAACCUUUGUUGCUUCGGCGGGCCCGUCUCACGACCGUCGGGGGACCGUAAGACGUCUCUUGACCCGUGUCCGCCGGUGGCCAAACUUAACAAACUCUGGUUAAAAUGUGUCUAUGGUCUGAGUACAAUUUUUUAAUUAAAGAAA
This 191-nucleotide unclassified non-coding RNA is filed under the name uncultured Herpotrichiellaceae. Its description in RNAcentral is "sequence contains ITS1". Lineage: Eukaryota; Fungi; Ascomycota; Eurotiomycetes; Chaetothyriales; Herpotrichiellaceae. The record is from RNAcentral.